UUUCCGUAGGUGAACCUGCGGAAGGAUCAUUAUUGUAUAACCGAGGUGCGAGGGCUGUCGCUGACCCGAAAGGUCGUGCACGCCCGAGUGCCCUCACACACAUCCAUCUCACCCCUAUGUGCACCACCGCGUGGGUCCCCCUUUGGCUUGUUCGGAGGGGGGCUUACGUUUUCACACAAACUUUGUAUGCAGUGUAGAAUGUAUUUUUUGUUUUUGCGAUCACGCAAUCAAUACAACUUUCAACAACGGAUCUCUUGGUUCUCGCAUCAUGAAGAAC
RNAcentral lists this unclassified non-coding RNA (277 nucleotides) under plant metagenome. RNAcentral's name for it is "partial contains small subunit ribosomal RNA, internal transcribed spacer 1, and 5.8S ribosomal RNA". The record is from RNAcentral.